This is a long non-coding RNA of Belonocnema kinseyi, 704 nucleotides long. RefSeq lists it as uncharacterized. The record is from RefSeq and is a predicted model, not a curated record. The transcript has 3 exons. NCBI's taxonomy places the organism in Eukaryota, Metazoa, Arthropoda, Insecta, Hymenoptera, Cynipidae.
CACGUGAAAGCUGAAACCAAAAGCAUCGACAUUGCUGGCCAGAAGAAGAGGUUCUUUGAGACGUGGAGUAUUUUCAGCACAACGUCGCGCUGGUUCUGAAAUUAAUAUAAGAGGUUGGACAGAGAUUAAGACGACGAAGCUAGAGCACUUUCAAGAUAGAUCUAGGAAGAGGAAUUACUUUUUCGUAUGCAAACUAAGACGGGUACUUCCCGAGGGAAGUGUGAGGAGCAACGGCGUGGUCGAGGUCAAUCGCGAAACAGUAAAUCUCGGCCGUUGCCUGAAUAGAUGUACCGCGCGUGAUUCGCAGGAGCAUUUACAGUUCUUUCGUUGGACAUCCGCUUUGGACUUGAAGCUCCAACUUGACAGUGCUAUUAUUAUUAAUAGUGCGAGAUCCGGAUCUGGACGAGAUUUUGGCUUUGACGCGUGAGAACAGUCAAAAUUGUAUGACCUCAACUGUAAAGGAGGGGAAUAGAAGGCUUAAGUGCCUCAUGUUGUGAGCCUCAGAAAACUGCCCUCGGCAGGAAAAGGGGGGUUCGUGGGAAUGGAGUAUGGUGGGGGUGGCGGUGGUCGUGGGGGUAUACAGCCUCCCCCGACAAGUGCAAGAAGUAUGGCUGGGACAGAUACUACUGAUGCUGCCUGGCUCAAGCAUGAACAAAUGAAGAUCAUGGAGUCCAGACACAAACAGCAAUUGAGCGGUGGGUAGA